AGCAGCCGCGGUAAUUCCAGCUCCAAUAGCGUAUAUUAAAGUUGUUGCAGUUAAAAAGCUCGUAGUUGAAUUUCGGGGUCAGUAAGUUGGUCGUGCCACUGGUAUGCACUGGCUUUACUGAUUCCUCCUUCUUGAAGAACUGUGAUGUCAUUUACUUGGUGUUGCAGGGAAACAGGACUGUUACUUUGAAAAAUUCGAGUGUUUAAAGCAGGCUAACGCUUGAAUACAUUAGCAUGGAAUAAUGAAAUAGGACGUUUGACCCUAUUUUGUUGGUUUCUAGGAUCGACGUAAUGAUUAAUAGGGAUAGUUGGGGCAUUAGUAUUCAAUUGUCAGAGGUGAAAUUCUUGGAUUUAUUGAAGUACUAACUACUGCGAAAGCAUUUGCCAAGGAUGUUUCAUUAAUCAAGAACGAAGUUAGGGAU
This 421-nucleotide ribosomal RNA is filed under the name uncultured Glomus. RNAcentral describes it as "SSU rRNA". It matches the Rfam family "Eukaryotic small subunit ribosomal RNA", at positions 569 to 997 of the family's 1831-position model. Lineage: Eukaryota; Fungi; Glomeromycota; Glomeromycetes; Glomerales; Glomeraceae. The record is from RNAcentral.